AUCCUGGCUCAGGAUGAACGCUGGCGGCGUGCUUAACACAUGCAAGUCGAGCGGAGAUAUGAAAUCGGAGAGCUUCGGCAGGAAGAUUCAUAUUUAGCGGCGGACGGGUGAGUAACGUGUGGGCAACCUGCCCUGUACUGUGGAAUAAUCACUGGAAACGGUGACUAAUACCGCAUGUCAUUGCGAGAGGGCAUCCUCUUGCAAGAAAAGGAUUUAUUCGGUACAGGAUGGGCCCGCAUCUGAUUAGCUAGUUGGUGAGAUAACAGCCCACCAAGGCAACGAUCAGUAGCCGACCUGAGAGGGUGAUCGGCCACAUUGGGACUGAGACACGGCCCAAACUCCUACGGGAGGCAGCAGUGGGGAGUAUUGCACAAUGGGCGAAAGCCCUGAUGCAGCAACGCCGCGUGAAGGAAGAAGGGUUUCGGCUCGUAAACUUCUAUCAACAGGGACGAAAAAAUGACGGUACCUGAAUAAGAAGCCCCGGCUAACUACGUGCCAGCCGCCGC
RNAcentral lists this ribosomal RNA (506 nucleotides) under uncultured bacterium. Its description in RNAcentral is "bacterial SSU rRNA". It matches the Rfam family "Bacterial small subunit ribosomal RNA", at positions 16 to 518 of the family's 1533-position model. The record is from RNAcentral.